This 80-nucleotide ribosomal RNA is filed under the name Streptococcus gallolyticus. Its description in RNAcentral is "partial 16S rRNA. Bacterial SSU". It matches the Rfam family "Bacterial small subunit ribosomal RNA", at positions 1 to 79 of the family's 1533-position model. The record is from RNAcentral. Lineage: Bacteria; Bacillati; Bacillota; Bacilli; Lactobacillales; Streptococcaceae.
AUUAAAUGAGAGUUUGAUCCUGGCUCAGGACGAACGCUGGCGGCGUGCCUAAUACAUGCAAGUAGAACGCUGAAGACUUU